This 2902-nucleotide ribosomal RNA is filed under the name Klebsiella pneumoniae. RNAcentral's name for it is "23S ribosomal RNA". It matches the Rfam family "Bacterial large subunit ribosomal RNA". The record is from RNAcentral. Lineage: Bacteria; Pseudomonadati; Pseudomonadota; Gammaproteobacteria; Enterobacterales; Enterobacteriaceae. RNAcentral also lists the same sequence under 1 other name.
GGUUAAGCGACUAAGCGUACACGGUGGAUGCCCUGGCAGUCAGAGGCGAUGAAGGACGUGCUAAUCUGCGAAAAGCGUCGGUAAGGUGAUAUGAACCGUUAUAACCGGCGAUGUCCGAAUGGGGAAACCCAGUGCAAUUCGUUGCACUAUCGUUAACUGAAUACAUAGGUUAACGAGGCGAACCGGGGGAACUGAAACAUCUAAGUACCCCGAGGAAAAGAAAUCAACCGAGAUUCCCCCAGUAGCGGCGAGCGAACGGGGAGCAGCCCAGAGUCUGAAUCAGCUUGUGUGUUAGUGGAACGGUCUGGAAAGUCCGACGGUACAGGGUGAUAGUCCCGUACACCAAAAUGCACAGGCUGUGAACUCGAAGAGUAGGGCGGGACACGUGGUAUCCUGUCUGAAUAUGGGGGGACCAUCCUCCAAGGCUAAAUACUCCUGACUGACCGAUAGUGAACCAGUACCGUGAGGGAAAGGCGAAAAGAACCCCGGCGAGGGGAGUGAAAAAGAACCUGAAACCGUGUACGUACAAGCAGUGGGAGCACCUUCGGGUGUGACUGCGUACCUUUUGUAUAAUGGGUCAGCGACUUAUAUUCUGUAGCAAGGUUAACCGUAUAGGGGAGCCGCAGGGAAACCGAGUCUUAACUGGGCGUUAAGUUGCAGGGUAUAGACCCGAAACCCGGUGAUCUAGCCAUGGGCAGGUUGAAGGUUGGGUAACACUAACUGGAGGACCGAACCGACUAAUGUUGAAAAAUUAGCGGAUGACUUGUGGCUGGGGGUGAAAGGCCAAUCAAACCGGGAGAUAGCUGGUUCUCCCCGAAAGCUAUUUAGGUAGCGCCUCGUGAACUCAUCUUCGGGGGUAGAGCACUGUUUCGGCUAGGGGGUCAUCCCGACUUACCAACCCGAUGCAAACUACGAAUACCGAAGAAUGUUAUCACGGGAGACACACGGCGGGUGCUAACGUCCGUCGUGAAGAGGGAAACAACCCAGACCGCCAGCUAAGGUCCCAAAGUCAUGGUUAAGUGGGAAACGAUGUGGGAAGGCACAGACAGCCAGGAUGUUGGCUUAGAAGCAGCCAUCAUUUAAAGAAAGCGUAAUAGCUCACUGGUCGAGUCGGCCUGCGCGGAAGAUGUAACGGGGCUAAACCAUGCACCGAAGCUGCGGCAGCGACACUAUGUGUUGUUGGGUAGGGGAGCGUUCUGUAAGCCUGCGAAGGUGACCUGUGAGGGUUGCUGGAGGUAUCAGAAGUGCGAAUGCUGACAUAAGUAACGAUAAAGCGGGUGAAAAGCCCGCUCGCCGGAAGACCAAGGGUUCCUGUCCAACGUUAAUCGGGGCAGGGUGAGUCGACCCCUAAGGCGAGGCCGAAAGGCGUAGUCGAUGGGAAACAGGUUAAUAUUCCUGUACUUGGUGUUACUGCGAAGGGGGGACGGAGAAGGCUAUGUUAGCCGGGCGACGGUUGUCCCGGUUUAAGCAUGUAGGCUGGUUGUCCAGGCAAAUCCGGAUAAUCAAGGCUGAGGUGUGAUGACGAGGCACUACGGUGCUGAAGUAACAAAUGCCCUGCUUCCAGGAAAAGCCUCUAAGCAUCAGGUAACAUUAAAUCGUACCCCAAACCGACACAGGUGGUCAGGUAGAGAAUACCAAGGCGCUUGAGAGAACUCGGGUGAAGGAACUAGGCAAAAUGGUGCCGUAACUUCGGGAGAAGGCACGCUGGUGUGUAGGUGAAGUCCCUGCGGAUGGAGCUGAGACCAGUCGAAGAUACCAGCUGGCUGCAACUGUUUAUUAAAAACACAGCACUGUGCAAACACGAAAGUGGACGUAUACGGUGUGACGCCUGCCCGGUGCCGGAAGGUUAAUUGAUGGGGUUAUCCGUAAGGAGAAGCUCUUGAUCGAAGCCCCGGUAAACGGCGGCCGUAACUAUAACGGUCCUAAGGUAGCGAAAUUCCUUGUCGGGUAAGUUCCGACCUGCACGAAUGGCGUAAUGAUGGCCAGGCUGUCUCCACCCGAGACUCAGUGAAAUUGAACUCGCUGUGAAGAUGCAGUGUACCCGCGGCAAGACGGAAAGACCCCGUGAACCUUUACUAUAGCUUGACACUGAACAUUGAGCCUUGAUGUGUAGGAUAGGUGGGAGGCUUUGAAGCGUGGACGCCAGUCUGCGUGGAGCCAACCUUGAAAUACCACCCUUUAAUGUUUGAUGUUCUAACGUUGGCCCCUGACCGGGGUUGCGGACAGUGUCUGGUGGGUAGUUUGACUGGGGCGGUCUCCUCCCAAAGCGUAACGGAGGAGCACGAAGGUUAGCUAAUCCUGGUCGGACAUCAGGAGGUUAGUGCAAUGGCAUAAGCUAGCUUGACUGCGAGCGUGACGGCGCGAGCAGGUGCGAAAGCAGGUCAUAGUGAUCCGGUGGUUCUGAAUGGAAGGGCCAUCGCUCAACGGAUAAAAGGUACUCCGGGGAUAACAGGCUGAUACCGCCCAAGAGUUCAUAUCGACGGCGGUGUUUGGCACCUCGAUGUCGGCUCAUCACAUCCUGGGGCUGAAGUAGGUCCCAAGGGUAUGGCUGUUCGCCAUUUAAAGUGGUACGCGAGCUGGGUUUAGAACGUCGUGAGACAGUUCGGUCCCUAUCUGCCGUGGGCGCUGGAGAAUUGAGGGGGGCUGCUCCUAGUACGAGAGGACCGGAGUGGACGCAUCACUGGUGUUCGGGUUGUCAUGCCAAUGGCACUGCCCGGUAGCUAAAUGCGGAAGAGAUAAGUGCUGAAAGCAUCUAAGCACGAAACUUGCCCCGAGAUGAGUUCUCCCUGAGACUUUAAGUCUCCUGAAGGAACGUUGAAGACGACGACGUUGAUAGGCCGGGUGUGUAAGCGCAGCGAUGCGUUGAGCUAACCGGUACUAAUGAACCGUGAGGCUUAACCUU